This 253-nucleotide ribosomal RNA is filed under the name uncultured bacterium. RNAcentral describes it as "partial 16S ribosomal RNA". It matches the Rfam family "Bacterial small subunit ribosomal RNA", at positions 524 to 776 of the family's 1533-position model. The record is from RNAcentral.
UACAGAGGUCCCGAGCGUUGUUCGGAUUCACUGGGCGUAAAGGGUGCGUAGGUGGCGUGGUAAGUUUGAUGUGAAAGCUCAGGGCUUAACCCUGAAAUGGCAUUGAAUACUACUAUGCUGGAGGUUUGGAGGGGGGACUGGAAUUCUUGGUGUAGCAGUGAAAUGCGUAGAUAUCAAGAGGAACACCAGUGGCGAAGGCGAGUCCCUGGACAACACCUGACACUGAGGCACGAAAGCUAGGGGAGCAAACAGG